Equus quagga is the source of this 1233-nucleotide long non-coding RNA. RefSeq lists it as uncharacterized. The record is from RefSeq and is a predicted model, not a curated record. The transcript is spliced from 3 exons. NCBI's taxonomy places the organism in Eukaryota, Metazoa, Chordata, Mammalia, Perissodactyla, Equidae.
UAUUUGAAAAUCUUGCCGUGCAGAGGAAGGAUUAUGCGCUGGGAGUGUUUCAUUUUCAAAUGUUUUUGCACAGAGCAUUUUGCCUCUCACCAAUAUUUCAAUGACGAAUAGUGAGUUUCACUAGAAAAAAGUUUUUCAUUUAAAAUUUGAACACUACAAAAUCAAAAAGGGUUCAGCACGCCUAAUUCUGAAAGAGAGAGAAUUCUGGCUAAAGUAACCAUCUUUUACUUAGAGAAUAAGUCUACCAAAACUCCAUCAUCUGAACCUGAGUCAACCUGCUUAUAAUUUGAGACUUUGGGAGGGGAGCGGAAUUAGGACUUUAAGAGAGAUGUAAGCACAGAGGAAUGCGUCUCUACUGUAAGAAACACAGCACUGCUAAAGCAUGGAGAAACAUAGGCUGACCUGUGGCCUCAGUGUCAUAGGAAGCAGAGGAGCCGUGGCCACCACAUCUCCAAGAGGCCGCCACCCCAUCUGGUUACUUCCAAACUGGAGUGGUCUCAUCUGAUGUGGAUUCUUCUUAAAAUGUUCAUCCCCGACAGUCAACAGCCUGAGGAACCCACCAUCUGCCACCACUCUGCCCUCAAACCUGCUGCUUCUGCAUACUUCUCUCCUGAACUUCUAACAACAUAGGCUUUAUCUUGGAGUCACCCCUCAUUCGUCCUGCUCCUUGGUUCGAAAGACCUCUUAAAUCUUCCUGUAAAAUGCUUCUCACACCCCUUAACUCCCUUCAUUGUUUAUUGCUACUUUCCUAUGUUAGAGGGGUGGCUCUUCAAUUUUUAAACAGGAACGAAGUGGGUGUGGGGGGUGGUCAUAGUCUGGUUGCAAAGGAGGUUUAGGGGUCUAGUUUUGAAGCUGCCUCCCCAGAGCAAAAUGAAAUUUUCUUUAGGUUGUAUGUUGCAAAUUAAUAAUACAGCACAGUUUUAUAUAAGUAUACCUUACAUAAUUUGAGAAAGUGUCCAUAGUGUAUAUCAAAUUAUACAAAUAUAUUUGUUAAAUUUGUGGUAGAGAUUAGGACGGGGAGAUCCCACUUUGUACAGCAAGUAUUAGAAUGGUUUCUUGAAUGGUUCCUUUGACCCCAAGCGCUCUCUCUUUUCUUGCUGCCAAAUCUCCCUGAGGCCCAGCUUCGGUACCGUUACUACUCACCGACCCUCACUGGCUCCUCACUGCCUGCUACGUAAGGAACGGUCAGUCUCUAAAUGGACUCUUGACCCUUCAAAAUAUGAAUCCCACUCA